Sinocyclocheilus anshuiensis is the source of this 350-nucleotide long non-coding RNA. RefSeq lists it as uncharacterized. The transcript is spliced from 2 exons. Lineage: Eukaryota; Metazoa; Chordata; Actinopteri; Cypriniformes; Cyprinidae. The record is from RefSeq and is a predicted model, not a curated record.
UCGGAGCACCCCUAAUUUACCCCACCUGCUCUCCCUCAUUACCCUACUAAUUUCCUUCCCAAUUUAUUCCCCUUUUGUUCUCAGACCUGUGCUAGUUUAUUGUGGAUGGUUUCCCCUUUAAGGAUGGUUUUCUGGUAGUCCUGCCACUGCCUGCUUGAACUGUGUUUUUCUGUAUUUGUUUAUGUUAAGUCUAAUAAAAAAUCCCAUUAACCUCUGCAUCCUUGAAUCCUGCUUCUUCCCUUGCCUCACCUGACAAUAAGUAACACAUAUUCAAAAUAUAUGUGCACACCAUGUUUUCCAUAAAUUACAUUUAUAUAUCCCAUAUAUUUAUAUUUCCAACAUAUUUUACA